UUCAUUGGUUGAACUCUCGCGUGCUUGCUACCGCGUUUCCAUAAGAAGUGUAUUCGAUUUUAGUCAGGGAUUGAACUUUUCCGGUGGUUUUCGCGCGGAUUUUCGUCACCUUUGUUGAGACUGUGGUCCGAUUCGGAAGUGCAACAUUAGAGCUAUGAAGCGUAAAAGGUUUUUUUUUUACGCGCCCGCGAAAGCGGAUCGCCAGACACCAGACGUUCCAGGAGUUUUAUAUCGUUGAAAAUAUCCUAGCAUAUGACAGGGGACGAAGACAGUACCUCAUCAAA
Molecule: unclassified non-coding RNA, 284 nt
Filed under: Amphibalanus amphitrite
Lineage: Eukaryota; Metazoa; Arthropoda; Thecostraca; Balanomorpha; Balanidae
Description: tyrosine-protein phosphatase non-receptor type 11- like, transcript variant X2
Source: RNAcentral